AGAGUUUGAUCCUGGCUCAGGACGAACGCUGGCGGCGUGCCUAACACAUGCAAGUCGAGCGGGAAAGUUCCCUUCGGGGGGCGAGUACAGCGGCGCACGGGUGAGUAACACGUAGGUAACCUACCUGCGAGACUGGGAUAACCUGCCGAAAGGCGGGCUAAUACCAGAUAAGACCACGGGGGCUGCGGUCCCUGGGGUAAAAGGUGGCCUCUUCAUGAAAGCUACUACUCGCGGAUGGGCCUGCGCGCCAUUAGCUAGUUGGCGGGGUAACGGCCCACCAAGGCAAAGAUGGCUAGCUGGUCUGAGAGGAUGGCCGGCCACACUGGGACUGAGACACGGCCCAGACUCCUACGGGAGGCGGCAGUGGGGAAUAUUGCACAAUGGGCGAAAGCCUGAUGCAGCGACGCCGCGUGAGGGAUGACGGCCUUCGGGUUGUAAACCUCUUUCAGCAGGGAAGAAGCGCAAGUGACGGUACCUGCAGAAGAAGCACCGGCUAACUACGUGCCAGCAGCCGCGGUAAUUC
Molecule: ribosomal RNA, 523 nt
Filed under: uncultured bacterium
Lineage: Bacteria
Description: bacterial SSU rRNA
Rfam family: Bacterial small subunit ribosomal RNA
Source: RNAcentral